Molecule: signal recognition particle RNA, 265 nt
Filed under: human gut metagenome
Description: Bacterial large signal recognition particle RNA
Rfam family: Bacterial large signal recognition particle RNA
About the family: The signal recognition particle (SRP) is a universally conserved ribonucleoprotein involved in the co-translational targeting of proteins to membranes. Archaeal SRP consists of a 7S RNA and homologues of the eukaryotic SRP19 and SRP54 proteins.
Source: RNAcentral
CGCGCCAGGCGGGGCAGUAGCGGCGCCCUGUACCCGAAAUCCGCUAUAUCGGGGCUGGAUUCCUCUUUUCGGCUAAGAGGCGAUGACAGGCGUUAUAUAGGGAAGAUGUUGACGGUCGGGUCCUGUGCAAUGUCAUCCUGUGAAUCAUGUCAGGCCUUGACGGGAGCAGCAUUAAGCAGACCGUGGCAUGUGCCGCAGGGAAACCGGGCCGGAGUCUUUUCUGUAUGAUAGCAUCAUGGUGUUCUUUUCCAACGAGAGGUGCGCG